Molecule: long non-coding RNA, 687 nt
Filed under: Chlamydomonas reinhardtii
Lineage: Eukaryota; Viridiplantae; Chlorophyta; Chlorophyceae; Chlamydomonadales; Chlamydomonadaceae
Description: long non-coding RNA (CREI_LNC000242)
Source: RNAcentral
CUUCACCCGUCGACGAGGGAGUGCUUCCCGCUCUUCCUUCACCUGCUGCACCUUCGCCCUCGCCCCCUUCACCGUCACCUCCCUCGCCGCAGCCCCCUACGCCUCCUUCACCUGGUUCGGAGGAAGCAGCACCGUCUCCCUCACCUCCCUCUCCCGCUCCGCCCUCACCGUCUCCUCCCUCGCCGCAGCCCCCUACGCCGCCUUCACCUGGUUCGGAGGAAGCAGCACCGUCUCCCUCACCUCCCUCUCCCGCUCCGCCCUCACCGUCUCCUCCCUCGCCGCAGCCCCCUACGCCUCCUUCACCUGGUUCGGAGGAAGCAGCACCGUCUCCCUCACCUCCCUCUCCCGCUCCGCCCUCACCGUCUCCUCCCUCGCCGCAGCCCCCUACGCCUCCUUCACCUGGUUCGGAGGAAGCAGCACCGUCUCCCUCACCUCCCUCUCCCGCUCCGCCCUCACCGUCUCCUCCCUCGCCGCAGCCCCCUACGCCUCCUUCACCUGGUUCGGAGGAAGCCGCACCGUCUCCCUCACCUCCCUCUCCCGCUCCGCCCUCACCGUCUCCUCCCUCGCCGCAGCCCCCUACACCUCCUUCACCUGGUUCGGAGGAAGCCGCACCGUCUCCCUCACCUCCCUCUCCCGCUCCGCCCUCACCGUCUCCUCCCUCGCCGCAGCCCCCUACACCUCCUUCAC